UGGGAACGUACCCUUUGGUUCGGAACAACCCAGGGAAACUUGGGCUAAUACCGGAUAAGUCCGUAAGGAGAAAGAUUUAUCGCCAAAGGAUCGGCCCGCGUCUGAUUAGCUAGUUGGUAGGGUAAUGGCCUACCAAGGCUACGAUCAGUAGCUGGUCUGAGAGGAUGGCCAGCCACAUUGGGACUGAGACACGGCCCAGACUCCUACGGGAGGCAG
This 216-nucleotide ribosomal RNA is filed under the name uncultured bacterium. Its description in RNAcentral is "partial 16S ribosomal RNA". It matches the Rfam family "Bacterial small subunit ribosomal RNA", at positions 118 to 351 of the family's 1533-position model. The record is from RNAcentral.